CCAGGGGGUAACAGUUACCCCUGUCCUCAGGGGGGGAGAGAGAGGGAGGCCCCCUGCUGUGGCAAUGGGGGGAGUAGCAUCGCUCCCUGUCUCCUCCUGGGCUAGUCGCACACGGGGAUUAAAAUGGGCUGGAGCAGAAGAGGAGCUUGGGCUGCAGCCCCUCAGGAACGCCAUGUAACCACCAGCGUGCUCUUGCGGGGUGUUUCUGUACUGGACCCGGGGAACUACUUUCUACAGCGGAGGGGAGAAGGCAGUCUUGUGUCAUGGACCAUUCUAACCUACCAUUCCUUGCCCCCUUUCCCAACGGGGCCAGCAUUGCAUCAAGUCAUGGUUCGAGCAGUCACAAAACCCCUCUCACAGAUGAGUAUGAGUAGAGCUGAUUGAAUUCUUCAUUAUGAUUAACUUAGCUGAAGAUUUUGUCAAAUUAUUCAUAAUUACAUUUUCCAUUAUUCAGCCAUGAGUGUAUUUCGUGGCUCCUUGGUUGGAGGUGCCCAAUGAGAUGAAGAUGUAAAGGUGUAGGAACUGAGGUGCCUUGUUCCAUUUCACCAGAGUGCCUGUUAAGAACUGUGUUUAAAUAAAAUACCCCUUUGUUUUAUUGUGAAAUGGUAU
RNAcentral lists this long non-coding RNA (609 nucleotides) under Gopherus agassizii (Agassiz's desert tortoise). Its description in RNAcentral is "lncRNA (ENSGAGG00000022428.1)". Lineage: Eukaryota; Metazoa; Chordata; Testudines; Testudinidae. The record is from RNAcentral.